GGGGAAGGGAGUGCAGCGCACCCCGGCGCCACUCACCUCCAGCCUCUCCUCGCGAGCCCCGGCUGGCAGCUCGCGGCGCCACUGCUCUGGGCUCCAGAGGGCGGGGCGGGCGCAGGGGGCGGAGCCGGCCGGGCUGGCAGCGCCAGAAUUAAACCCGGAGCGCGCGGCGGCCGGGCACUGACGGCCGCGGACGGUAGCUGCGCCCUGAAGCGAGCAGGAGUGUCCCGCGGGCCUGCGGUUAGGUCGGGCCGGGAGGAAGCCUAGGCUUACGCGGCGAUCUUUUGUACCCAGGAGCCGGCCGGCCCCAGUGCGCCUGCGCGCCGCUCAGCCUGCCGCGGACCCACGAGGCACCUAGGCGCACCUCCGCCCUGCAUGCUGUCCCCGAGUUGCAGUACUUACUCCCACCGCCCCGAGUGAAAACCAUGUCCCCAGUGAGACAGGUAGGGCCGGACACGCGGGACUGGCACACACACCCCCCGCCGACCCCGCACACCGCUAAGAAACUGUUCUCCGGCCCCGGCUGAGAGGCGGGCUCGGAAGUGUGCAGGUUUCUGGUUUCCUGCGGGUGGCUCGGCCGGGACAGACUUCCCCCCCGUCUGGUCACCGAAGUGCCCACCGUGCUAUCGGAGAAAAGUCCUGGGUCCAGACGGUGCCGCGGUUCGAGGGGCUCUAAAGAAAACGUAGCGACUGCCUCGAGUUUAGGGCUGAAAGUGACUCGCUAGUUCAGUCCUAAACGCUCGAGUCGUAGAAAGUCCAAGAAGAGACCGAAGGUGGCUUGAAACAGGAGAGCUUGGGGAGGGGAGGAUCGAUUUUAUGAAAAAAACAGGUUGCAAUAAAAACCAAGUCAUAGUGGGUCUUGAGUAUGCUGCAGCUAGGAAUCUGGUGCCUGAGAAGGGACAUGGUAAUGAGAUUUAUGAGGAGGAAGUGAGGAAGAGACCCCUGGGCAAGAAGUCACCAACAUCGAACCAGACCUUCAGGACAGGUGGAAUUGGAGCAACCCUCUAGGCUAGUGACAGAUGCCAGGCAGAGGAAGUGAGCAGCGGUUCCCCUUCAGCCACAUGGUCACAAGAGGAAACACCAAUGUUCUCAGUAAACUGUGUUGCUAAGCUAGGGUGUUCAAUGCGUUUUCAGGUUAUAUACUUUCAACUAUAAUGGUCUCAUUGGGACAUAACUCCAUCAAAAGUUGAGCAGCAGCAUCAAAUAGAUGUAUUUUAGGGUAUAUAAAUAAUACCUCCCUAAAGCCCUUAAAAACAAUUUUCAGGGUUGCAGCUAUAGCUCAGCAGUACAGAACUUGCUUAGCAUGUGUGAGGCCCUGGGCUUAAUUCUCAGUUCUGCCAAACAAAAUAAACAAGUUUCCUUGCUUACCAGUGGCUCUGAUGGGCUCACAUGCCCAUUUCUGAACCUGUCACUGGGUGAAAGGAAUGCGAUGCACUGAUUAGUCAGGCUGCAGCCAAAGCUACUCACCGGAGACAGGGAUAAAGUCCGCUUCAUCCAAAGCACGGUGAUGGGGUGGGAAGGAAGUGGUUUCCCAGUGUAAAAGCAGGUGAAUGGAUGCAGCCUCUUAAAGUCUAAGGACCAGCGUUGCGCUAGGACAAAUCCAGGCUUCCAGGGCCUCUCUGAACUCACUUUUAGGUCCAGCACAGGCCGACCCACAGUCACAUUCCUACCUUGUGAAGCUUUACUUCUGUUUUUCUUGCCUUCUGUAUCGCAGAUGUCAAAGUGAGCAAAAUAUGAUGAAAGUAGGCAGAAUUCAUGCUAUAUUCCCAUUUUUAAAAACACUGUCAUAGUCAUACAAAUUGAGAAAGUCCUUAUCUUCAGCCUCACAUUAUUACUUACUGCUGGAUUGACUGAACCUGGGUCCUGCCCAGUGUCCGCUGGAACCUCCUCCCAG
Molecule: long non-coding RNA, 1891 nt
Organism: Heterocephalus glaber (naked mole-rat)
Lineage: Eukaryota; Metazoa; Chordata; Mammalia; Rodentia; Bathyergidae
Source: Ensembl